This 2034-nucleotide ribosomal RNA is filed under the name human gut metagenome. RNAcentral describes it as "bacterial LSU rRNA". It matches the Rfam family "Bacterial large subunit ribosomal RNA", at positions 860 to 2925 of the family's 2925-position model. The record is from RNAcentral.
CGAAAUAGCUUUAGGGCUAGCCUCAUGAGAGUCUUAUGGAGGUAGAGCACUGAAUUGCCUAGGGGGCGUCAAAGCUUACCAAAGCAUAUCAAACUCCGAAUGCCAUCAAGAUGAUUCAUGGGAGUCAGACCAUACGAGAUAAGUUGGAUGGUCAAAAGGGAAAGAGCCCAGACCUACAGCUAAGGUCCCAAAGUACGUGUUAAGUGGAAAAGGAUGUGGGGAUUCUAAGACAACUAGGACGUUGGCUUAGAAGCAGCCACUCAUUAAAAGAGUGCGUAAUAGCUCACUAGUCGAGAGUCCCUGCGCCGAAAAUGUCCGGGGCUGAAACACGACACCGAAGCUUAGGAAUGUGUAAACAUUGGUAGAGGAGCAUUGCUGGCGGGAUGAAGCCAUACCGUAAGGAGUGGUGGACUGCUAGGAAGAGAGAAUGCCGGAAUGAGUAGCGAGAUGAAGGUGAGAAUCCUUCAGGCCGAAUAUCUAAGGUUUCCAGAGUAAAGCUGAUCUGCUCUGGGUAAGUCGGGACCUAAGGCGAGGUCGAAAGACGUAGUCGAUGGAUAACAGGUUGAAAUUCCUGUACCGCAUAUAAACAGAACUGUGGGGACACAGACAGGGAAUGGAAUCCGGGAAUGGAUAUCCCGGUGCAAGCGAGGUAGGAGUGCUGUUGGCAAAUCCGCAGCACGAUCUGAAGACGUGACGCGUACCGAACAUAAGUAGGGAAGUCCAGGCCCCUGGCUGUCAAGAAAAGCCGCUAUCGUUUUAUAUGUGCCCGUACCGCAAACCGACACAGGUGGAUGAGGAGAGAAUCCUAAGGCCGACGGGAGAAGUAUUGUUAAGGAACUCGGCAAAAUGACUCCGUAACUUCGGGAGAAGGAGUGCCAUGAGAGUGGCCGCAGAGAAAUGGCCCAAGCAACUGUUUAGCAAAAACACAGGUCUAUGCAAAACCGUAAGGUGAAGUAUAUGGGCUGACGCCUGCCCGGUGCUGGAAGGUUAAGGGGAGAGGUUAGCGCAAGCGAAGCUUUGAACUUAAGCCCCAGUAAACGGCGGCCGUAACUAUAACGGUCCUAAGGUAGCGAAAUUCCUUGUCGGGUAAGUUCCGACCCGCACGAAAGGCGUAAUGAUUUGGGCACUGUCUCAACAAUGCACCCGGUGAAAUUGAAAUACCAGUGAAGAUGCUGGUUACCUGCGCCAGGACGGAAAGACCCCAUGGAGCUUUACUCCAGCUUGAUACUGGGAUUCGAUAUUGUAUGUACAGGAUAGGUGGGAGGCGAAGAAGCAUUGACGCCAGUUGAUGCGGAGCCGCUGUUGGGAUACCACCCUUGCAGUAUUGGAUUUCUAACCAGCAGCCGUGACCCGGCUGGGGGACAAUGUCAGGUGGGGAGUUUGACUGGGGCGGUCGCCUCCGAAAGGGUAUCGGAGGCGCUCAAAGGUUCCCUCAGAAUGGUUGGAAACCAUUCGAAGAGUGCAAAGGCAGAAGGGAGCUUGACUGCGACACCGACGGGUGGAGCAGGUACGAAAGUAGGACUUAGUGAUCCGGUGGUAUAAAGUGGGAUUGCCAUCGCUCAACGGAUAAAAGCUACCCUGGGGAUAACAGGCUUAUCACUCCCAAGAGUUCACAUCGACGGAGUGGUUUGGCACCUCGAUGUCGGCUCAUCGCAUCCUGGGGCUGUAGUAGGUCCCAAGGGUUGGGCUGUUCGCCCAUUAAAGCGGUACGCGAGCUGGGUUCAGAACGUCGUGAGACAGUUCGGUCCCUAUCCGGCGUGGGCGUAGGAUAUCUGAGAGGAGCUGUCCUUAGUACGAGAGGACCGGGAUGGACGGACCGCUGGUGGACCGGUUGGCUUGCCAAAGCCAUGGCCGGGUAGCCAAGUCCGGAAGGGAUAAACGCUGAAGGCAUCUAAGCGUGAAGCCCCCCUCAAGAUGAGAUAUCCCAUUCGAAAGAAGUAAGACCCCUUGAAGACGACGAGGUAGAUAGGGCAGAGGUGGAAGUGUGGUAACACAUGGAGCUGACUGUUACUAAUCGGGUGAGGGCUUGACCAA